CCUACGGGAGGCAGCAGUGAGGAAUAUUGGUCAAUGGGCGCGAGCCUGAACCAGCCAAGUCGCGUGAGGGAAGACGGUCCUAUGGAUUGUAAACCUCUUUUGUCGGGGAGCAAAAGACGCCACGUGUGGCGUUCCGAGAGUACCCGAAGAAAAAGCAUCGGCUAACUCCGUGCCAGCAGCCGCGGUAAUACGGAGGAUGCGAGCGUUAUCCGGAUUUAUUGGGUGUAAAGGGUGCGCAGGAGGAAGAUGAAGUCAGCGGUAAAAUUGAGAGGCUCAACCUCUUCGAGCCGUUGAAACUGGUUGUCUUGAGUGAGCGAGAAGUAUGCGGAAUGCGUGGUGUAGCGGUGAAAUGCAUAGAUAUCACGCGGAACUCCGAUUGCGAAGGCAGCAUACCGGCGCUCAACUGACGCUCAUGCACGAAAGUGUGGGUAUCGAACAGGAUUAGAUACCCCAGUAGUC
This 459-nucleotide ribosomal RNA is filed under the name uncultured bacterium. Its description in RNAcentral is "partial 16S ribosomal RNA". It matches the Rfam family "Bacterial small subunit ribosomal RNA", at positions 338 to 795 of the family's 1533-position model. The record is from RNAcentral.